This is a long non-coding RNA of Gasterosteus aculeatus aculeatus (three-spined stickleback), 2987 nucleotides long. NCBI's taxonomy places the organism in Eukaryota, Metazoa, Chordata, Actinopteri, Perciformes, Gasterosteidae. The record is from Ensembl.
GCAAAGGCACGUUCUGAGUCAACCACAGCCCUUAAGCAGAAAAAAAAUCUUUGCAGAAAACUUCCUGUUUUCUGACACUUUCCCACUUUCGACAGAAGCGUUUUAUGCUUUUAUGUUUUUUUAACUUAUAGCUCGACUCAAUCACUUAAGUCAUGUUCUGUAUGGUCUGAUUCCUAAACAUUAUUUGUGUGUAAAAGUUGUGGCAGAGUUUGUGAUGUUCGAACAGGGUGAGGUAGUAGGUUGUGUGGUUUCGGGGUAGUGAUUUUGCCCGAUCAGAAGAUAACUAUACAACAUACUGCCUUCCCUGAAGGGCAGCAAUACUUCACCGUACAGACAACAGAACCUGGAAGGAGCUCAGCCAAUCACAGCGUCUCAAGUCACCAGCAGGUAAACCCAGUUCUCCUCCAAAUAUGAAUAAAAAAUAAGAUGAAGAAUCUGUUUGUCUUUGACUUUUUUGUACACAGUAUAUAUGUUUUAGACUUUGGGACUAUUUGCAGUUGAAUGACAGCAUUGGUGUAACUAUGUUUCCAAAGCUUUGCGAUCCCUUUCUACACGCAGUAAAGGUUUAAACAAUGUAAAGACUUCUAGUGAAUCUUCAAUUGAUCCUGACCAGUUAACCAGCAUUUAUCAAACGUAACACAACAUUUUUAUUGCCGCCCGUUGAAUAGUUUAGAAAUGUUUGGAAACAUCUCUAAAAACUAAAAAACAGACCUGACCACCUUCGUGGGAUCCGGGGGUCCGCCCUGAGCAGAGCAGAUGGACAGAGGAUCUGUGGCCUAAUCUCACCUCCUGCACUGCAGCAUGAUUCAUAUGGCAACAGAUGACGGGUGCAGUAGCUCUCUGGCCAACGGCACACACACACACACACACACACACACACACACACACACACACACACACUGAUGACGAGGUGAAUACCAGCCGGUAUCCGACCAGCUCGCCCUCAGGUGGGCCUUACUGUCUGCUGCUGCAGCUCCGUAUCUCGUAUCAAGGUCACUCACGGUGAGACCCCUCGAUCUUCACCACCAGUGAUCAACUGUGUGUCAAAGUGAACGUCUUAACAUGCAACAAUAAAUACGAUUCCACUGUGCACUGUCUCCCAGUCUUUGGGUACGCAGACAAGUAUUAGUAUUAUUACACCACACAUGCUGAACCGGUGAGAAGGGUUAUAUCACAGAACAUCAGUGGAGCAGCAAAAGAAGAAUACCAAUGUACUGUAUCCUCUCUGUGUGCAACACUGUUGGAUGUGUGUGUGUGUGUGUGUGUGUGUGUGUGGGCUGCACUCACUGUAGCCGUCCCCUGCCAGCCACCAUAUUGAAUUGGUUUGAGCCUUGGCCCUGGUGAUAGUGCUGAAUACUAAAGCCGGGUGGGACAAUGGCUCUGUGUGCAUCCCGUCUCUGGGGUUGCACCACCCGUCAUCUCCUCCCGCUUCACCGACAACGCUGCGACGACCAUCUGGUACAUUCUUCUCCUGUGAGAAAAGGAACUAAUGAAAAGAUCUCAAGAGUCCAUCGGAAACAUUUCAGUCCAGAAUUCAAUAAUAUACUAUUAUAUACUAUUCUAUGCUUUUGCUGCCCUUCAUAUGAUGUCAUGGCUGUAUAAAAGUGUUAUCGAUCAAAUGUAAGUGGAGCGGGUUGAAGGCUCUGAGUGGGCGGGACCCUCGAAUAAACCACUCAGCAGAGUGCAUUUGCUGGAAGGAAGAAAAGCUAUUCCUGUGUCUAUGUAGAAAGAGCCAGCUUAAUCUGUGUAAUGGUGAUUAAAAAAAAUAUAUAUAUUAUUCCGGCUGAAAUGUAGGGCAUGGAAAUAAAAUGAUGCGUCUCAUUUGCUCAAGUUUUCUUGUUUCUCAUUUUUUAUAUUUAUAUUUUCUGCACAAACUAUUUUGAUAUAAUCGCUCACCAACAUAAAUCCCAAAACAGGAGUUACAGGGCCACAGUGGAUGUGGCAAAAGUGCCACCUAGUGGAUGCUCAUUCAACAUUCUUCAAAUACAGAAUGUUUGCACCCAAUUUGAAACUCUUCUUUCUCCACAAUGUCAUUUUACCAAGUUCUUUCUGCCUGCUCUUACAGCUAUAACUAACAAUACACCACAUAUCUGUCACAAUUACCCCAAAGUCAUCAAAUGUCGUUUUGAAACGUCCAAAUUCCAGAAAAUAUUAAUAAUAAUAUAAAGAAAAUUAUGAAGGGUCUCCAUGAAUCGAUAGUUUGGGCCUUUCUCCCUAAAAAUACAAUAAUUCAAUAAUCUAAAUAGUUGCUGAUUUAUUUUUCCCACUAAAUUGGGCCAUUUUUUCCCCGAUUGGAAGAGUCCGCUUACAGCGUGUUAGUGUUUGUGUGGCCGUUCCCAGACAGCGGGUGGGAGCAGAGGAUCCGGUCUCCACAUUGACCCACUUCCAGAAUGUUAGCGGGUCAUCAUGUCAACCAAAGAACAUCAUGUCUUCAAGGCCCCCCCUCCCUACAGGAAAAAAGAGAUGUAUUGUAUAAAGAGCAAACACUUGAUAUGGGCUGUUGCAGAUACUGAUGUCAUGGUGAUGCUGCUCAAACUUUUAAUUGACCAUAUGUCGGUUCCAACUAAAUCUACCAGUGACAUGAAUUCAUGCUCAUAUUCAUAGUCAUUGCGUAUCCCAUAUUUUCCAUCUACAAUAUUUGCACAAUUAUGUCAUACCUUGUCAUUCAUAUUUACAACCCUACUGCUUAAUGUACUUACUGCUCCAUGUAUAUUUCAAACUGUACAUUUAUUCAUAUAUACUCUAUACUGCACUUUAUCUGCUCUCUUGCACUUCUGGUUGGAUGCUCAACUGCAUUUUGUUGUGUCAGUACCUGUGCAAUGACAAUAAAGAUCUAAUCUGAUCUAAUAAAGGUGAACAAAGGUAAAUCCCCCACUAAACACAACUCCUGGGACACGCCCCAUUUUAUCAGCAUGAAUCCCCUCAGCGAUUUCCUGCUUCCUAGUCUGUUUUAUCUCAUCCACGUCCAGUUGAGGGACAGACAUGGG